Rattus norvegicus (Norway rat) is the source of this 407-nucleotide long non-coding RNA. RefSeq lists it as uncharacterized. NCBI's taxonomy places the organism in Eukaryota, Metazoa, Chordata, Mammalia, Rodentia, Muridae. The record is from RefSeq and is a predicted model, not a curated record.
GUAGGAGAGCAGUCCUGCAUUGUAGUCCAGCACGAACCAACGAUACUGCCAUCCCUUCAUCACGUUAGUCCAUUUGCUCAGCGGCCCUUCCACGAUGGACGCCAUCUUGGGAGCCGCCAAUGACAACAAACGGCCUGACGCCUUGCCUCGAAAGAAAAGGCAGCUGAAGUAUAGAAGAAAAAGACAAUUAGACUCAGCCACAAGAAGAGAUAAUGCUGGGCUGGAGAGAUGGCUCAGCGGUUAAGAGCACCUGACUGCUCUUCCAGAGGUCCUGAGUUCAAUUCCCAGCAACCACAUGGUGGCUCACAACCAUCUGUAAAGAGAUCCGAUGCCCUCUUCUGGUGUGUCUGAAGACAGCUACAGCAUACUUAUAUGUAAUAAAUGAAUAAAAAAUCUUAAAAAAAAAA